This 492-nucleotide ribosomal RNA is filed under the name uncultured bacterium. Its description in RNAcentral is "partial 16S ribosomal RNA". It matches the Rfam family "Bacterial small subunit ribosomal RNA", at positions 29 to 507 of the family's 1533-position model. The record is from RNAcentral.
AGUGAACGCUGGCGGUAGGCCUAACACAUGCAAGUCGAACGGCAGCACAGUAAGAGCUUGCUCUUACGGGUGGCGAGUGGCGGACGGGUGAGGAAUACAUCGGAAUCUACUUUUUCGUGGGGGAUAACGUAGGGAAACUUACGCUAAUACCGCAUACGACCUACGGAUGAAAGCAGGGGAUCUUCGGACCUUGCGCGAUUGAAUGAGCCGAUGUUGGAUUAGCUAGUUGGCGGGGUAAAGGCCCACCAAGGCGACGAUCCGUAGCUGGUCUGAGAGGAUGAUCAGCCACACUGGAACUGAGACACGGUCCAGACUCCUACGGGAGGCAGCAGUGGGGAAUAUUGGACAAUGGGCGCAAGCCUGAUCCAGCCAUACCGCGUGGGUGAAGAAGGCCUUCGGGUUGUAAAGCCCUUUUGUUGGGAAAGAAAAGCAGCAGGUUAAUACCCCGCUGUUCUGACGGUACCCAAAGAAUAAGCACCGGCUAACUUCGUG